GCCCAAUAUUAAAACAAGGUUAGCACUAAUGUCAUAUUAUAAAACUAAUUGAGAGAGAAAAUAACUUUCCCAUUACUGCAAAAAAGAGUAGCUAAGCUACUUAUACUAGCAAUGGUUACAGAGAAGUGGGAAAAGAAAAAUAUGAUGUAACUAAACUGCUAGCUUUCAACUGAAACUAAAAUACAAAACUAGCUAACUUAUUACAAGAACUAGCCACUUAAUAGCUAAAAAUAAAUUAGUUGCUACAAAGAAAAUUAACCAUUUUCUUUAUUGUCCAAGAUUUUAUAAUUUUAUAUUGACAUUUGUGCAAAUUAA
RNAcentral lists this unclassified non-coding RNA (315 nucleotides) under Hevea brasiliensis (rubber tree). The record is from RNAcentral. Lineage: Eukaryota; Viridiplantae; Streptophyta; Magnoliopsida; Malpighiales; Euphorbiaceae.